UUAAUCACACAGGAGGGAAUCUUCUAAAUAAUUAGUAGAACACUAAGAAUAUAUAUUAACACUAUUGUGUUCCUUUAAAAUGUUAGUUUUAGAGAUUAAAUUUCAAUCCCUAAACCCGUAGGGAACAAAGAAUAGCUUCAUGAAGUCAUACACACUAAGACAGGCCUUCUGGGGGUUUAAAAUUCUCAGAAAAUAUGAAAUAGUGAUGUAUUGUGUUGCAAGUUAAGAUGUAUGCAGCCUAUCAAAUGUCCCAUUGAUUAUAAGCAUCCCCCAUCCUCCAAUUCCCCAGGUCAUAUCCAGUUAUGAUGUAAUCUUCAUCUUUAUGCACAAUAUGCAGUCUGAAAAAACACAGUGAAACGUUCACUAGCGACAGACAGUGUGUAACAGGGCAAUUGGGCAGCUGACAGGUGUUGAGCUUUUAAAGGAUCACUUUAAGAUAGACUUCAAGUUACACAAACUUUCUUCAUACUGUGGGGCCUGGGAGGAAGGAAUUUAGGAGACAGAGGUGUCUGGCACCAGGGAAUCAACUUUAGAGUUAAACUGGUGGAAAAUGGUUUAACCCCUAAUGUAAAGAUGGCACCCAGACAUUCCUUCAUCUCGGUGAAGUUAUGGGUGGAGGGGAAGAGAAUGUUCCUUCUAAGCAACAUAUAGAGGCUUAUUCCCUAAACACCCAGUUGUACUGAAUUAAAAGCCAAAUUGCAAAAAGUAGGAAACAUUUGAUUUGAAAAUAUUCCACAUCUCCGCUAUAAUCAUACCAUGACUAUUUUAGCAUAAAGUUUGCAAACUGAUAUACAUUUCACUACAAUUCACAGUUUAGUGCAUAAACCUGAUACGUUCUAGUUCUUGUUUAUAUAAGGGCACUCCAAAUACAAUCGUAAAUCUCUGUACUUGCUACUUUUUAUUUUGUAAGCAGC
Non-coding RNA from Pelobates cultripes (western spadefoot toad), 914 nucleotides. NCBI's taxonomy places the organism in Eukaryota, Metazoa, Chordata, Amphibia, Anura, Pelobatidae. The record is from the annotation of a GenBank genome assembly.